GUUUGGUCUUUGAGUUCUUUAAGUAUUCUGCCGCUGAUGUUGUCUGGGCCGGUUGCCUUAUGUGGGUUUAUAUUGUGUAGGAGUUUCUUGACACCAGGUAAAGAUAUUUCGAGUGGUGUUAUCACAGGGUGUGAGCUAGGACCUUUGUCUGGAAUGGUGUUAUUUGAUUCAGUUGUAAACACUGAUUGGAAUUGUGUGUUGAGGAUGUCUGCCUUUUGCUUUGUAUCAGCUAUUAACUGUCCUUCUUUUUUCAGUGGUGCGACACCGGUGUUAUCUGUGCGCAGUGAUUUAAUAAAGGCUUUUUAGGUUUAGAUUGAUUGUUGCACUGUUGGUCGGGUUCAUUUAUGGGUAGGUC
This 355-nucleotide long non-coding RNA is filed under the name Mytilus galloprovincialis (Mediterranean mussel). The record is from RNAcentral. Lineage: Eukaryota; Metazoa; Mollusca; Bivalvia; Mytilida; Mytilidae.